RNAcentral lists this ribosomal RNA (353 nucleotides) under Myrmeleon inconspicuus. RNAcentral describes it as "SSU rRNA". It matches the Rfam family "Eukaryotic small subunit ribosomal RNA", at positions 1038 to 1390 of the family's 1831-position model. The record is from RNAcentral. Lineage: Eukaryota; Metazoa; Arthropoda; Insecta; Neuroptera; Myrmeleontidae.
GAUGCCAGCUAGCGAUCCGCCAAAGUUCCUCCGAUGACUUGGUGGGCAGCUUCCGGGAAACCAAAGCAUUUGGGUUCCGGGGGAAGUAUGGUUGCAAAGCUGAAACUUAAAGGAAUUGACGGAAGGGCACCACCAGGAGUGGAGCCUGCGGUUAAAUUUGACUCAACACGGGAAACCUCACCAGGCCCGGACACCGGAAGGAUUGACAGAUUGAGAGCUCUUUCUUGAUUCGGUGGGUGGUGGUGCAUGGCCGUUCUUAGUUGGUGGAGCGAUUUGUCUGGUUAAUUCCGAUAACGAACGAGACUCUAGCCUACUAAAUAGACGUACUUUAUUACCGGCAUCUCAAGGCCCAU